UGGCCCUGAACCAUUGCCACGUCGGCUUGGUGGAAGGCGCGAAGAGAUACGAGGACGCGCGUGAAGUUUUACUCAAUCCCCAAUCCGGUAUGCGCAAUCCCUAGUUCCCCUCUUCCUUCUCCCCUGUUCGCCGCCAUGGCCGCCAGAUGAGUCUCGUCCUCCUCUGUUCUGUAGUUCCUUCCUUUUCCUGUGUGUCUCCAUGGCCGCCCCACCUACGUAAUUCCUGCUCCCUCGAUCCCCCAUUCUCCAGCGCCCUGGACGAGGACCGCCCUCGUCAUGGCUCAAUGGAGCAGCGGCUGCUUGUCUUGGAGUUCCUGUUUGACUCGUCGUCUAGCCGUAGCGGGCCGCCGAUCCCCUAUAGUUCUUGUUCAUCUCUUCCUGUUCUUCAGGUAAGAAGUGGAUGCUGGUUUCGUGAGAAAAGAAAAAUGGAUGUUGGUGUAUAGGUUAUCUUUUUACCCAGAAUAUGUACCGAUUAUUAUCAAUUUGCCAACACAAUUGAUUCUUUGAUUCACUUGCUGUUGCUAUUGCACGUAGCUUAGCAUCAGACUGAAUUUUUAGUAUAGCCAAGACAACUUCAGAGCUCCAAUCUGAAUAUCGUUGUGAAGUAAUACUCGCAAGUUAAUAUAAAUUUCUCAUUCACCCAGUUAAUUUCGCAUUCCUAACCUAUUCUAUUAUAUAUUUUGGGACAUGCUAAUGACUUAAUUUUGUAUUGGUGCAUAUGAAUUUUUUCUGACUUCGAUCGGAGGCUCUAAGCACCAAACUUGCAGGAGGCACUACAUUUGCGAACGACGACACCAGAGGAAUGAACAACUUCAUCAUCUUAUAAGAGCAUUGGAGCAAGAGAGAGCAAUGCACAAGAAAGAGCAUGAUAGAUCAAUGUUGCAGUUGCAUCAGAGAUUGUCAGCUGUAUAUGAAGAUAUGAAAGUGAAGAAAAAAAAGGGACAUGUGCCUUUAUCAUGAUAUUGUGGGUUGUUUCUUUAGUUUUAGAUUUUGUUGCUGGUAUGGUCGUCUCAGUCUAGUUGAGAAGAGAGAAUUCAGAUAAUGCAAUUUUUUAAGGGAAUGUACUUGUAGCUCUGCAAUCUGUUGCAUACGCAAGGAUAUAUGUAAUCUGAAAGCAAGCUUUUCUUGCUGUCAUGAAUGAAAGCUUUUAUUAACUGAAAGUACUAUGUUAUUGCAACUAUCAUGGUUGCAAAUUUGCAGCAUUUUGUUUACAUUCAGCAUCACUCUUACAAAUUGGCAAUAGCAUAAUUAAGAAACAAGACAUGCCCAGAAUUCUCUGUACAGUUUCAGCUUAACUUCAAAGGAACACAUUUUUCUGAACGCAAUAAGGAACAUAUCACAGAAUACCCAGUCAUGCCCCACAUCAGAAAACAGUACAUGUAUCAGAUAAUAGGGAAGAAGUACUAGCUUUACAUAAUAUAGCAUGAACCAGAAAAUGCAUAACAGUCAACCAUGCACCACAAGUUUAUUUAUAUCUCAUUGUAGCUAAAUAACUAGAAGUUUAGUUAUUGCCAUGUAACCACCACUGGAAUCUUGAUUGGUUUGGCAUUGGCUGAG
Molecule: non-coding RNA, 1557 nt
Organism: Aegilops tauschii subsp. strangulata
Lineage: Eukaryota; Viridiplantae; Streptophyta; Magnoliopsida; Poales; Poaceae
Source: RefSeq, a predicted model, not a curated record